Molecule: long non-coding RNA, 3291 nt
Organism: Apis mellifera (honey bee)
Lineage: Eukaryota; Metazoa; Arthropoda; Insecta; Hymenoptera; Apidae
Exons: 5
Source: RefSeq, a predicted model, not a curated record
GCUCGCGUUGAAACAUAAAAAUAAAUAAAAUGAUUCACGCCGUACUUUUACUUUUGUGUUUAUGAAACGAUAAUUUGGAUGAAUAAAGAAGAAAAAUCAUGGUGAAAUUGUGAUAUAUAUAUAGUGCAUAGAAGAAGGAAGAGGAAGAUAAGUGAAACACUUUCUUGCAUCGAAUAUAUUCAUUUCGCGAUUAAAUUUAAAAAUGAAUAUCCUUGGAGUUUUUUUACAUAUUUAUAAAAAGAAAAAUUGAAUAAUGAAAGAGGGGGAAAGAGCAAAAAAGUGAACUAACACUUAUAUUAAGUAUAAUCACUCGAAGACGUAGAAAUAGAUAAAAAUUACUACUUUAUAGAAACAUUCAGACAGAUAAAAUUUAAAAGCUACGAUAAAACGAUAGGAUGAUAAUAUACGAUAGUACAGUGAGAAAAAGAAGAAGGAAAUAAACGAAGAAACGUUCACUUAUGCCGAUAUCAUACUGUAUUCACGUUUAAAAGUAUAAAUAAAUAAAAAUAUCGACGAUGAAUUUAUUCAUGCGUGUAAAAGAAUUUAAUCCAGAUUCCGAAUAAAGAAGGAAAAAUCGAUAACGAUAGGACAAUAAACCACGGUUAAAAACAUAUAUCAACCAGUAUAAUUCAAACAAUCUCCCGUUCACCUCCGUUCACUCACUGUUCGAAAAAUAUAAUAUAAAAAAAGAAAAUAUAAAAAAGAAAUAUAUACUUACGUGUUUUACGGAAAGUAAGAAAUCGUUUGAUUGAACGAUGACGUAGAGGGAGGGAAGAGGGGACGAAGUGGAGGAAUACCGGCUAUAAGAGGGCCGUCGAUUGUAUUUCACCGUUAUGUCAGACGCGAGAGAGCGAGGAGGAACAUUCCUGGACCGUGUCCAGAACCGAUCUGAAUUCCUCGCCGAGGAAAUUCCAACGAGGUUGUCAUUCGAUGAUCUCAAGGUGAGCACGGUGUGAUCGGCUAUGCGCCGCGUAUGAAUGAAAACUGUGGGCUCGACCUCCGUAUGGAACCACCCUUUGCUCGUGCUCCAGUUAACGAUCGGUGGGACGGGUCGAUUCUUUUAUUUCACGUAUGGAAGGGUCGACCCUCUUUCUCUCGGCUUUGACGCAACGGAUAUCUUUGAACUGGAUUUCUUGAACGAUUUUUUACCUCGCUGGUUGACUAAACACUUUCAAAGGAUAAGAUAUGGAGAUAGAUAGAUGAUGGUUUGAGAGCAAAGGAUGGAGGAUUGGGAGAAGUUUGUAAAUGAUUUAUUUCCUUUAUUGAAAUUUUUAUGCAUGAAUGAAACAAGAUAAUUCUAUGCAAAUAAUGGAUUAUGCGUUUAAGAGUAAAGGAAGGAUGAUUUUGAGAUAUUGGCAAUAAUAUUAAUUUGGUUUUGAUUAAUUUUAAGUAUCAUUGUGAGAUUUUUAUGUGUAGAAAAAAGAAAUUGUAUGAAAAUAGGAAAGCAGAAGAUAUUAUGUUAGCAAAGAAUGAAAUUGAAUAAUAUAUAUUUGUUAUGAAUGUAUGAAUGGAAGAUAAUGCUUCUAGAUAUCCAAAUUUUUUGAAUUCGUUGAAAUUCAUUGAACAUAAAGCUCUACUUUUCUAUUUUCAUUUAUUAAAAAAAAAAAAAAGUCACUCAAGUCAAGAGAUUAAUGAAGUACUUGGAAUUUAGAUAAAGCCAGAUAUAUAGAAGUAUAUAUAUAUAUAGAAGAAUAAAAAAAUAUUGAUCCUAUCUUCAAUAUUUAUUUGAUAAUCAAAGAUAGAAUCUCUGUAUAUAUUAAACAAAAUGUGUUUCAUACACAUAAUGAAAAGAACCUUGAUACUUGUAUUUUCAAUCAUAACUUGAAUUAUUACACCUCUGGACAUUUCUGGAAAUUAUAAAAGUUAAGUAAUCAUUAUUAGAAGAUAAAUUUUAAUUUUUAUACAAUGAAGUAAUGCAAGAAAGUAAUACAAUGAUACUAACUGUUACAGAAAAUGGAGGGUUUUUUAAACUUUAGAUAAAUAUAAAUGAUGAAGGAAUGAUAUCCAGAAGAAAAGUUCUAGAAGAAAUUUAUUAUUUAUUUAGAACAAAUCAGUCGAAUCCAGUAUGUCGGUCAUCGAUAAAAUCGAAUAAAAUUCAUCGUAUUCCUCUGCGAAACCUUGUUAAACAUCUCAUGACUACACACCUAUAUAUGUGAAUCUCAUACAAAGUACUCCGUACGGAUUAAGACAACAUAUGCCUUCAAUAUCUAUGAUUAAUUACAAAGGAGAUUGUUCAAAUACCAUUGAAAUGGAAAACGAAAAUCCGUAGUAUUUACUUUCUCCUGGCAUUCUGGUUCGAGCGCCAUUUAUUUACACAUUGGCGAUAGUAUUUCUAAGAAUAGUGUAAAUACAUCGGUGGAGGUAUAUUAUCACACGAGUACCAAGGUGAUUCUGUUUUUCAUGUAAUUACAACCAAGAGACAAUUCGUGUUUCAUUCUUAUCGUUCCGUGUUUCAAGCUAGUCAUUUCAACCGACCUUUCAGGUUGGACAAUUUUACAGUGCAACGUCGUUGCUAAUAUAAUGUCAAAAGAUAAUGUAAUAAAAUAAAAAAUUGAGGUAGAAAUAUUUUUAAUGCUCGUUUCCAUGUACGAAUGAAGUUACUCCUAUUUGUUGAAUUUAACAAUUUUUUAAAAUUAGAAGAUUGAUUGCUUAUUCUACUAGCUUACUCCAAAUAAAAUUGAAAAACACUCACGUAAGAAUUUUCUAAUCUCUGUAUCUGUAAAAUAUCGGAAAGAAAGAAGAUUAAAAAUCUAUAAAAUAAUACAAAUAUAUAAGAAGUAAGUAUAUAACAAGUGAAUAAAGGUAUUAUCUACUUCUUGAUACAAUCUUGUCGUAUCUAUUUCAUUCCAUUUAUCUAUAUAUACAAUAUUUCUAUCGAACAGGUUUCUUUCGUCGAUUCUAAGAAAAUAGAUAAAGAAAUGAGAAAAAGGAAGAAGAGGAAGCAAGAAAAAAAAACGAAAGCAUUUUGCGUCCUCGUGAUUUACGAAGCCGAAAGUAGACCGGCUCGCAAUCGGGCUCGCUCGUUUGAGGAAAGCGACCGGUAAUUCGAACGAGCGAUGUAUUUCCUCGCGUGUAAUUUUUCCUCGCGGCCGAAGGAAACCGGUCUUCUUUAUCAUCGUGACGAUAAGUCCCUGCUUGCGCAACGAUUAUGCGCCAGAGAGACCGUGCUUCGUAUGCAAAAAGCGUCCCCGUUCUCUUUCUUCUUCCUCUUUUUUUUUUUUUUUUUAUUACGAAUACGAGAGAGAUUCUUCUUCUCUUUCUCGCUAAUAAAGUGAAGAAACUGACGAUGGA